Molecule: long non-coding RNA, 898 nt
Organism: Salvia miltiorrhiza (redroot sage)
Lineage: Eukaryota; Viridiplantae; Streptophyta; Magnoliopsida; Lamiales; Lamiaceae
Exons: 3
Source: RefSeq, a predicted model, not a curated record
UAAUAUUAGUGCUAUAUUUAUUUUAAUUUGGUCACAUGAAUAAUUAUGCUAUGACAUUUCAUUAAUUGUGACUAGUUUUCCAUGAUUUAAUUUGUGUGGCUUAACACAUGGUUUAUUUUCCACCACACAAUACUACACUCUCACUUGAUUAUUAUAAUCAAUUAGACAUGUGUGUUUUAAUCAAGUGGCUUAGUGAAUAAGCUUGAGCAUUUACUUGUUGGCUAAGUUUGGAAGCAAGUGGAGGAUUUUAAACAAAACACUUUCUCUUUCUUCUCACUUCCUCCCUAACUCACGGCCUCACCCUUUUCUCUCUCUAAUCUUCCUUUCCUCCAUUAAUCCUCCAUGAUCGAAGAACACCAAGCUUUUUAGAUCAUCUCUACACCAUAGAUCUCCAUCAAAUUCAAGCUUUAAACAUCUAUAGCCUUGAAUCAAGAGCAUACUUGAAGGAGUUUCAAGAUUUGAGCCAAAGGAGAUUUUUGUUUAUUUCCAAAUCCUUGAGUCCGGGCGACAGGAAGUGAAGCCGAAGAAGAAGCGACUCCACGCUAGCUUAAGAACGUUUGAGGAAAUCCAAUUGGGAUCCUAUGCUAGACAAAGGUCGCUAGCUAGGGUUAACGUGUACACUCAUGGAGACCGCGAGUCGCUUGCGACCGGUCUUGGCGUCCGUGGUAAGGAGGCCUCCUUCCCGGCGCGUGACAGAAAGGAACAGAUAUGGAUCAUAUGAAGGAAAAUGGGUCGGCCGGCCAAUCUUAUGAAAAUGAAAGAAAUGUUUUAGUAAGCGCAGGACUUUCAAGAAAACCCCUGUGUGUUACUGUUAUGGCAGUUCAAUUUAUAUAUGUAUGCAUGUUUGUUUUUCGGCUUAUGCCACUGAGUAUUUUUAUACUCAGCCCUGCAUGUAUUU